Molecule: ribosomal RNA, 484 nt
Filed under: uncultured bacterium
Lineage: Bacteria
Description: partial 16S ribosomal RNA
Rfam family: Bacterial small subunit ribosomal RNA
Source: RNAcentral
AUUGAACGCUGGCGGCAGGCCUAACACAUGCAAGUCGAGCGGAUGAAGGGAGCUUGCUCCUGGAUUCAGCGGCGGACGGGUGAGUAAUGCCUAGGAAUCUGCCUGGUAGUGGGGGAUAACGUCCGGAAACGGGCGCUAAUACCGCAUACGUCCUGAGGGAGAAAGUGGGGGAUCUUCGGACCUCACGCUAUCAGAUGAGCCUAGGUCGGAUUAGCUAGUUGGUGGGGUAAAGGCCUACCAAGGCGACGAUCCGUAACUGGUCUGAGAGGAUGAUCAGUCACACGGGAAGUGAGACACGGUCCAGACUCCUACGGGAGGGAGCAGUGGGGAAUAGUGGACAACGGGGGAAAGCAUGAUCCAGUCAGGCCGCGUGUGUGAAGAAGGCCUUCGGAUUGGAAAGCACUUUAAGUUGGGAGGAAGGGCAGUAAGUUAAUACCUUGCUGUUUUGACGUUACUAACAGAAUAAGCACCGGCUAACUUCGUG